UACAGAGGGGUGCAAGCGUUGUUCGGGAAUUAUUGGGCGUAAAAGCGCGUGGUAAGGCGGCUUUGCAAGUCGGGUGUGAAAGCCCUCAGCUUCAACUGAGGAAUGUGCGCCCGAAACUGACAGAGCUUGAGUGCCGGAGAGGGUGGCGGAAAUUCCCCAAGUAGAGGUGAAAUUCGUAGGAUAUGGGGAGGAACACCGGUGGCGAAGGCGGCCACCUGGACGGUAACUGACGCUGAGACGCGAAAGCGUGGGGAGCAAACAGG
RNAcentral lists this ribosomal RNA (263 nucleotides) under uncultured bacterium. RNAcentral describes it as "partial 16S ribosomal RNA". It matches the Rfam family "Bacterial small subunit ribosomal RNA", at positions 524 to 776 of the family's 1533-position model. The record is from RNAcentral.